UACAUAGGUUGCAAGCGUUAUCCGGAUUUAUUGGGCGUAAAGCGUGCGUAGACGGCUUUACAAGUCCUAGGUUAAAGCCCAGAGCUCAACUCUGGUACGCCUUGGAAACUAUAAAGCUAGAGUGUAGGAGAGGUUAGUGGAAUUCCAUGUGUAGCGGUGGAAUGUGUAGAUAUAUGGAAGAACACCGGUGGCGAAGGCGGCUAACUGGCCUAUAACUGACGUUGUGGCACGAAAGCGUGGGGAGCAAAUAGG
Molecule: ribosomal RNA, 252 nt
Filed under: uncultured bacterium
Lineage: Bacteria
Description: partial 16S ribosomal RNA
Rfam family: Bacterial small subunit ribosomal RNA
Source: RNAcentral